This 1520-nucleotide ribosomal RNA is filed under the name Klebsiella pneumoniae 7699. RNAcentral's name for it is "bacterial SSU rRNA". It matches the Rfam family "Bacterial small subunit ribosomal RNA". Lineage: Bacteria; Pseudomonadati; Pseudomonadota; Gammaproteobacteria; Enterobacterales; Enterobacteriaceae. The record is from RNAcentral.
AGAGUUUGAUCAUGGCUCAGAUUGAACGCUGGCGGCAGGCCUAACACAUGCAAGUCGAGCGGUAGCACAGAGAGCUUGCUCUCGGGUGACGAGCGGCGGACGGGUGAGUAAUGUCUGGGAAACUGCCUGAUGGAGGGGGAUAACUACUGGAAACGGUAGCUAAUACCGCAUAACGUCGCAAGACCAAAGUGGGGGACCUUCGGGCCUCAUGCCAUCAGAUGUGCCCAGAUGGGAUUAGCUAGUAGGUGGGGUAAUGGCUCACCUAGGCGACGAUCCCUAGCUGGUCUGAGAGGAUGACCAGCCACACUGGAACUGAGACACGGUCCAGACUCCUACGGGAGGCAGCAGUGGGGAAUAUUGCACAAUGGGCGCAAGCCUGAUGCAGCCAUGCCGCGUGUGUGAAGAAGGCCUUCGGGUUGUAAAGCACUUUCAGCGGGGAGGAAGGCGUUAAGGUUAAUAACCUUGUCGAUUGACGUUACCCGCAGAAGAAGCACCGGCUAACUCCGUGCCAGCAGCCGCGGUAAUACGGAGGGUGCAAGCGUUAAUCGGAAUUACUGGGCGUAAAGCGCACGCAGGCGGUCUGUCAAGUCGGAUGUGAAAUCCCCGGGCUCAACCUGGGAACUGCAUUCGAAACUGGCAGGCUAGAGUCUUGUAGAGGGGGGUAGAAUUCCAGGUGUAGCGGUGAAAUGCGUAGAGAUCUGGAGGAAUACCGGUGGCGAAGGCGGCCCCCUGGACAAAGACUGACGCUCAGGUGCGAAAGCGUGGGGAGCAAACAGGAUUAGAUACCCUGGUAGUCCACGCCGUAAACGAUGUCGAUUUGGAGGUUGUGCCCUUGAGGCGUGGCUUCCGGAGCUAACGCGUUAAAUCGACCGCCUGGGGAGUACGGCCGCAAGGUUAAAACUCAAAUGAAUUGACGGGGGCCCGCACAAGCGGUGGAGCAUGUGGUUUAAUUCGAUGCAACGCGAAGAACCUUACCUGGUCUUGACAUCCACAGAACUUUGCAGAGAUGGUUUGGUGCCUUCGGGAACUGUGAGACAGGUGCUGCAUGGCUGUCGUCAGCUCGUGUUGUGAAAUGUUGGGUUAAGUCCCGCAACGAGCGCAACCCUUAUCCUUUGUUGCCAGCGGUUAGGCCGGGAACUCAAAGGAGACUGCCAGUGAUAAACUGGAGGAAGGUGGGGAUGACGUCAAGUCAUCAUGGCCCUUACGACCAGGGCUACACACGUGCUACAAUGGCAUAUACAAAGAGAAGCGACCUCGCGAGAGCAAGCGGACCUCAUAAAGUAUGUCGUAGUCCGGAUUGGAGUCUGCAACUCGACUCCAUGAAGUCGGAAUCGCUAGUAAUCGUAGAUCAGAAUGCUACGGUGAAUACGUUCCCGGGCCUUGUACACACCGCCCGUCACACCAUGGGAGUGGGUUGCAAAAGAAGUAGGUAGCUUAACCUUCGGGAGGGCGCUUACCACUUUGUGAUUCAUGACUGGGGUGAAGUCGUAACAAGGUAACCGUAGGGGAACCUGCGGUUG